GACGAACGCUGGCGGCGUGCUUAACACAUGCAAGUCGAACGGAAAGGCCCUGCUUUUGUGGGGUGCUCGAGUGGCGAACGGGUGAGUAACACGUGAGUAACCUGCCCUUGACUUUGGGAUAACUUCAGGAAACUGGGGCUAAUACCGGAUAUGAGCUCCUGCUGCAUGGUGGGGGUUGGAAAGUUUCGGCGGUUGGGGAUGGACUCGCGGCUUAUCAGCUUGUUGGUGGGGUAGUGGCUUACCAAGGCUUUGACGGGUAGCCGGCCUGAGAGGGUGACCGGCCACAUUGGGACUGAGAUACGGCCCAGACUCCUACGGGAGGCAGCAGUGGGGAAUAUUGCAAAAUGGGCGGAAGCCUGAUGCAGCAACGCCGCGUGCGGGAUGACGGCCUUCGGGUUGUAAACCGCUUUCGCCUGUGACGAAGCGUGAGUGACGGUAAUGGGUAAAGAAGCACCGGCUAACUACGUG
Molecule: ribosomal RNA, 468 nt
Filed under: uncultured bacterium
Lineage: Bacteria
Description: partial 16S ribosomal RNA
Rfam family: Bacterial small subunit ribosomal RNA
Source: RNAcentral